AUUUAUAUAGUUUAAAAAAAAACAUUAUAUUUUCAAUAUAAAAAUAUAAAUAAUAAUUUAUUUUAUAAAUA
Molecule: transfer RNA, 71 nt
Filed under: Bambusicaliscelis fanjingensis
Lineage: Eukaryota; Metazoa; Arthropoda; Insecta; Hemiptera; Caliscelidae
Description: tRNA-Glu
Source: RNAcentral